UACGAAGGGGGCUAGCGUUGUUCGGAAUCACUGGGCGUAAAGCGCACGUAGGCGGAUUUUUAAGUCAGGGGUGAAAUCCCGAGGCUCAACCUCGGAACUGCCUUUGAUACUGGGGAUCUGGAGUCCGGGAGAGGUGAGCGGAACUGCGAGUGUAGAGGUGAAAUUCGUAGAUAUUCGCAAGAACACCAGUGGCGAAGGCGGCUCACUGGACCGGUAUUGACGCUGAGGUGCGAAAGCGUGGGGAGCAAACAGG
This 253-nucleotide ribosomal RNA is filed under the name uncultured bacterium. Its description in RNAcentral is "partial 16S ribosomal RNA". It matches the Rfam family "Bacterial small subunit ribosomal RNA", at positions 524 to 776 of the family's 1533-position model. The record is from RNAcentral.